Molecule: long non-coding RNA, 268 nt
Filed under: Fragaria vesca (wild strawberry)
Lineage: Eukaryota; Viridiplantae; Streptophyta; Magnoliopsida; Rosales; Rosaceae
Description: long non-coding RNA (FVES_LNC001316)
Source: RNAcentral
UCCGACCCACAAGAAUCAAACGUGGACUCAUCCGAGACCGACACGUCACUCACAGAAUGCCUAUGACUUUCAACAACAGCCAACAUCAUUGGUGAAAACCCAGACAGAAAAUCUCAGUGGAGAAGAAGAAGAGGAAGAAGAAGAAGAAGAAGAAGAAGAAGAAGAAGAGCAUUUGGGGUUUUGAAGAGAAUAAUGUGGGUGGGGUUAAGGAGUAGGUGGCAUUUGGUUUCUGUGUUUUAAUGUUAAAAAUCAAUGUCUCUGUGUCUAA